Molecule: long non-coding RNA, 207 nt
Filed under: Mytilus galloprovincialis (Mediterranean mussel)
Lineage: Eukaryota; Metazoa; Mollusca; Bivalvia; Mytilida; Mytilidae
Source: RNAcentral
UGUGUUUUUAGCAUUUGACCAGAGCUCUGGCAUUUGUGUAAUGAUAUAUUUUUUUGGAGAUAAUUUUUAAUAAUUUAAAAGGUAAUAAAUCGACAAGAAAAUUUGACUUCCAUCAAAGUUUUGUAAACCGUGUGCUGAUCUUAAAGGCGUCGAAGCUUUUGAUGAAUAAUAAGUUUUCUAUAAUACCGAACCUUUCGACUUUGGAAC